Long non-coding RNA from Cuculus canorus (common cuckoo), 1155 nucleotides. RefSeq lists it as uncharacterized. The record is from RefSeq and is a predicted model, not a curated record. The transcript has 3 exons. NCBI's taxonomy places the organism in Eukaryota, Metazoa, Chordata, Aves, Cuculiformes, Cuculidae.
UAUUGCAAAUUUUGAGCCUGCUGUCUUAGGCAUUGCUGCUUUAAUAAGCUGGACUGAAUUGUGGUAAAAUAGAUGAUAGAUUUGAGCAUAUCCUUGGCUCCAGUAUAGUCUUGCUACCAAAUGGUUUUAAAUACAAGGGCCUUCAGAAUUUGCUUUUAAGUCACACUAUUCCUCCAAAAGUAAGAAAACCACCUUACUCUGAAGCGUUGCUCUCUUUCCCUUGCCUUCUCCAUUUUCCUUUCAUGACAUAAUACAGGCAUGCUACAACAGAAGAUGCUGUACAUACUCUGCCGCCUUCCCUUUUAGUGCAAGAACCACUCCUUUUAUCUGAAAGAUCAGCCACCUAAGGCGCUUUUUCAGCACCCGAAGUUGUUUGAUACAGGGAGUACUACUGGAUGAGCCCAACAGAGGGCAAUGGGAUACACUGGCAUGAAUCUGAUCCCUACCCCACCAAAGACGCUAAAGCUGGUCAAAGCCCAUUCAGUUCAAAACCACCACGGCUAUUUUCAGUUUUGUGCCUCUGUUACGCACAGCACUGCCUCACACACAGUAACAUGGAAGAGACAAAGCAGGACCGGCAAGAAGAGAGCAGUUAAAGUUUCAAGGAGCGUUCAACUUUGGUGUGUUUCAGAACUCUUGGAGCAGGAGGACCAAAAGAAGAUUAAAAUAGGAUAUUCUGGAAACAAUUCCCAUCAAGAUGGAAUGAAGAAUCUGAGAAUUAUCAGCUAAGACCUAUUCUUGGGAAUUCAGUAUUCCAGCUCAUCUCCCAGGCAUGCUCAUACAAGAUUGCUAUAGUCAAAGAAACUUCCCAGUAUUCAUCUAAACAGAGCACGCAGAUGCUACGAGAGAUUUGGAUGGAUUCUCAUCACUUAUACAUUGUGGCCUUGUCUCCAUAUAAGUGUGUUAACAAACGGGGUUAUUUUACAAAUUACAAUGCAUUCCUACAUAGCGCAAUAGAAUUGCAGAAAAGCUCAAAAUUUGAAAUACAUACGUUGAAAUAUACGCUGAUUUGUUCAUUUGGUAGUAGGCAAUUUCACUGAUAUUUAGCUUUUCUUUUGUUGUAUGCUUUUCUCAGAAUCAGUAUCUGGGAAAAAGUGAAUUAACAAGCAUCUGUACAGUGGGAGGAUGACCACACAGUGAUUUCAAAAUCACGCU